This 484-nucleotide ribosomal RNA is filed under the name uncultured bacterium. RNAcentral describes it as "partial 16S ribosomal RNA". It matches the Rfam family "Bacterial small subunit ribosomal RNA", at positions 30 to 507 of the family's 1533-position model. The record is from RNAcentral.
AUUGAACGCUGGCGGAAUGCUUUACACAUGCAAGUCGAGCGGCAGCACGGGGGCAACCCUGGUGGCGAGCGGCGAACGGGUGAGUAAUACAUCGGAACAUGCCCAGUCGUGGGGGAUAACACUUCGAAAGAAGUGCUAAUACCGCAUACGUCCUGAGGGGGAAAGCGGGGGAUCGCAAGACCUCGCGCGAUUGGAGUGGCCGAUGUCAGAUUAGCUAGUUGGUGGGGUAAAGGCCUACCAAGGCAACGAUCUGUAGCUGGUCUGAGAGGAUGAUCAGCCACACUGGGACUGAGACACGGCCCAGACUCCUACGGGAGGCAGCAGUGGGGAAUUUUGGACAAUGGGGGCAACCCUGAUCCAGCCAUUCCGCGUGAGUGAAGAAGGCCUUCGGGUUGUAAAGCUCUUUCGGCAGGAACGAAACGGUGAGCUCUAACAUAGCUUGCUAAUGACGGUACCUGAAGAAGAAGCACCGGCUAACUACGCG